Long non-coding RNA from Cyanistes caeruleus (blue tit), 1614 nucleotides. The record is from Ensembl. NCBI's taxonomy places the organism in Eukaryota, Metazoa, Chordata, Aves, Passeriformes, Paridae.
UCUGCUAUCAACACAGGGAAUGUUAUAUUCUGGUGGUAUGCUAAUACUGGGUUUCUAUAGGAUAGAAGAUGACAAAGUGUUGUGCCUAAUAAAAGGAGAACCUUUUUGUUUUUGUUUUUAAGUCCUAGAGUUGAUGGAGGGAAAGUUCCAAAAUCUCAACUUCUUUCAGGAAAAGGAACAGCAGCAGCUGACUGCAAAACCUCUGUACUUCUGCUGGGCAAAGUAGGAAUUUAAUUUCAAGACAACCGAUCGCUCAUCAUAAGACAACUGGACUUGGAAACCAGAAAGGCAGAUAUUGAAUGUAUUCCUUGCUCCUGCUCAAACAGGCUGAAUAGUUCCUCUUGGGAAGAUUUUCAACUAGCCAGUAGUCAAGACAGAACUCCAGGAUAGUGGAUCUCCUUUGGACUCUUCAGAGCCAAGUACUCUGUGUUACAAGAUGCUGGUGAACAGCUGAAUAUAACCUUCAAUGGAAGUGAUUUAACUACCUGUUCGUUCUAGCCUAGAAAUAAUUACAAUGAGUUACAGCUACUGACUACCUCGUGCUGUUUGUUAAACAGUCGCUCCAAACUGGAGGCAGAGGAGAAGUUUAAACAGGAAGCAUCCCCGCGGGUCUGUGACUUCUACCCGGAGCCAGCCCCGCAAUACGCCCGAGCGGCGGCGAGCCGAGAGAAGGCAGGCAGGAGGGACUGCUCCUCCGGCAGGAGGGACUGCUCCUCCGGCAGGAGGGAUUGCUCCUCCGGCAGGAGGGACCGCUCCUCCGGCAGGAGGGAUUGUUCCUCCGGCAGGAGGGAUUGCUGCCCCGGCAGGAGGGAUUGCUGCUCCGGCAGGAGGGACCGCUCCUCCGGCAGGAGGGACCGCUCCUCCGGCAGGAGGGACCGCUGCCCCGGCAGGAGGGAUUGUUCCUCCGGCAGGAGGGAUUACUCCUCUGGCAGGAUCAGGUUGCAGCCCUCCCUGCCUUUGGAGCUUUACACCACACCCCUGCAACGUGAAUUAGGAGGGGAGGAUCAUAUUCAGCUCUGAUUCAGGAAUUCCCUCUUUCUUCAAGAACUGUUGCUAGGAGUUUGGUGAGUACUUUGCAACAGACUUUCGGUUUUAACUGAGUAAUUCUUUUUCCUUCAGCUGCCGAAAGCAGCUGGUGGCCUUUCUUUAGAUGCAGUAGUAGUCAGAUGUUUAGAUUCAAAGUCCAGCGAAGAGUGCUGCAAAACUUCUUUUUCUCUACAAAUUUGACACAGCGGGACAAUGACUAUACUUGUAUGAUUAAUACAGCUAAUAUUUGGUUGCCAUAAUCUCAGUCUGAGGUAUUUUAAGCUCCAAAACGUUUCUUGGAAAGGAAGCCGUCCUAAAGUUGAAUAAGUUAAUUCUGAUCAAUAGCUCGAGUUUGAAGAAAAGCUCUUGCUUUUUAAAGCAAUUUCUCCACUGCAAUAGAUCCAAGAGAAACUUGAUUCAAGUAGGUUUGCCAGGCUGUUUCAAAUCAGUCUGAGGCAAAUGACAUCUGAAGCAAUUUAUAUUUUAAACAGUACAGGAAGAUUUUAAGAGAAUUAAAUUAAGCUGGAUGAGACAUAAGCCAAUUUCAUCCACAGUAUAUUUGAAAUUUACAAGAAACCCCAUUUUAAU